GUCUACAGCCAUGCCCCCCUGAACGUGCCCGAUCUCGUCUGAUCUCGGAAGCUAAGCAGGGUGGGGCCUAGUUAGUACUUAUGGGAGACCACCUAGGAAGACCAGGUGCUGUAGGCG
Molecule: ribosomal RNA, 117 nt
Filed under: Pteropus alecto (black flying fox)
Lineage: Eukaryota; Metazoa; Chordata; Mammalia; Chiroptera; Pteropodidae
Also listed under: 1 other name
Source: RNAcentral